CCUACGGGUGGCAGCAGUAGGGAAUAUUGCUCAAUGGGGGAAACCCUGAAGCAGCAACGCCGCGUGGAGGAUGAAGGUUUUCGGAUUGUAAACUCCUUUUGUUAGAGAAGAUAAUGACGGUAUCUAACGGAUAAGCACCGGCUAACUCCGUGCCAGCAGCCGCGGUAAUACGGAGGGUGCAAGCGUUACUCGGAAUCACUGGGCGUAAAGAGGGCGUAGGCGGGAUAGCAAGUGAGAUGUGAAAUCCUAUGGCUUAACCAUAGAACUGCAUUUGAUACUGUUAUUCUAGAGUAUGGGAGGGGUAGGUGGAAUUCUUGGUGUAGGGGUAAAAUCCGUAGAGAUCAAGAGGAAUACUCAUUGCGAAGGCGACCUGCUAGAACAUAACUGACGCUGAUGCGCGAAAGCGUGGGGAGCAAACAGGAUUAGAUACCCUAGUAGUC
This 440-nucleotide ribosomal RNA is filed under the name uncultured bacterium. RNAcentral describes it as "partial 16S ribosomal RNA". It matches the Rfam family "Bacterial small subunit ribosomal RNA", at positions 338 to 795 of the family's 1533-position model. The record is from RNAcentral.